CUAAAGAGGUGAUAUUUGAGUGAUGAGGAGUCAGCCUUGUGAGCUGCUCGAGAAGAGUAUUCUUGCAGAGAAAAUUGAACCAUGACCUGCCUCUCCCUUCCCCUCCCACUUCAGCCAUGUGAUCAAUUUCCCAAGUGCCUCUUCCAUCUUGAAGGGUGUGUCUACUCUUGUCUCUCCUAGUUGGCCUGAUUCCACCAAUGAAGAAAGCUCUGGCAUUAGCAGAUGUCAGUAAAGACUAUCAGAGAUUGAUGUUAUGCGCCUUGGGAUUGAAUCUUUGAAAUUCGCCAGUCCCCUUCUUUUGGAAAUCUGGACAACAUUUAUAUUUGAGGACUGUCUGCAAUUUAAAUGUGCACAGAAUGAGACUCAGAAAGGUGGAGACUCCCAGUAAAGGAUGACAGAGGGCACAGAAGCCACCAGCAGAUUCUUUGGAAGGAAGUAACAGGAGUGGAACUUCAUUUUCCCAUGGAUUGUAAAGGGCUGGGCUCCCUUCCACCUCUUCUCACUGGCCUCCUGUUUGUACCCCUGACCUCUCCGGGAUCUUCUUGCUAUGUCACCCAGGCUGGAGUGCAGUUGCGCCAUCUCGGAUCACCACAACCUCCACCUCCUGUGUUCAAGUGAUCUGCCUCAGCCUCCCAAGUAGCUGAGAUGACAGACUUCCCACUGGGUUCCAGCCGGCACACCCAACCUCUUCAGGACCUGUGAGUAAUAAAUUUAUUUUGUUUUAUGCAUGUUGGUUUUACCUCCUCUUUGUGUCUCACCUGACACACACACCUGAACCUUCCUUCCUUCCCAUUAGGGCUCUCCUAGACAGUGAUUAUCUUGGCACAUUGCCACGGUCAAGAGCGACACCUCAAGACCAAAUUAGAAACAGUCACAAUAGCUUCACUUCUGUCAAUGGUUCAGCCUGAGCAACAGGCAUAAACUUCAUUUUUCUUCACCUGAUACUCUCUGAUUCAACACCCUACAUUUCUGCCAGGCUUGUGUGGUCUCUUUAGAAUGGCCAUACUCUAAAAAAAUUGCAAAUGGAACUGCAAAUCCACUACCUGUGUGUCUUCGGACCAGCCAUGUCACUUUUGGAUUUCUCACUUAUGAGAUGCAGUAAUUGCCAGUUGCUCUCCCAAGCCUAAAGUACAAUGCCUUUUACCACAGUUAUUGAUGAACACUUAUCUGAAUUAAAAGGAACUUAGCAUCUUCUUAAC
Molecule: long non-coding RNA, 1199 nt
Filed under: Homo sapiens (human)
Lineage: Eukaryota; Metazoa; Chordata; Mammalia; Primates; Hominidae
Description: HSALNT0145905
Source: RNAcentral